GCAUGGGAUGGCCUUUCUAAAUGGUUUUUUGGCCAAUUCUAUUUCACCAAGACUAUCACAAUCAUGCAAAAAGCAACGGCAUAAAACCGUUGCUUUUUGGAG
RNAcentral lists this small RNA (102 nucleotides) under Streptococcus salivarius CCHSS3. RNAcentral describes it as "Streptococcus sRNA SpF25". It matches the Rfam family "Streptococcus sRNA SpF25". The record is from Rfam by way of RNAcentral. Lineage: Bacteria; Bacillati; Bacillota; Bacilli; Lactobacillales; Streptococcaceae.